RNAcentral lists this ribosomal RNA (279 nucleotides) under Escherichia coli. RNAcentral describes it as "partial 16S ribosomal RNA". It matches the Rfam family "Bacterial small subunit ribosomal RNA", at positions 1050 to 1329 of the family's 1533-position model. The record is from RNAcentral. Lineage: Bacteria; Pseudomonadati; Pseudomonadota; Gammaproteobacteria; Enterobacterales; Enterobacteriaceae.
UGUCGUCAGCUCGUGUUGUGAAAUGUUGGGUUAAGUCCCGCAACGAGCGCAACCCUUAUCCUUUGUUGCCAGCGGUCCGGCCGGGAACUCAAAGGAGACUGCCAGUGAUAAACUGGAGGAAGGUGGGGAUGACGUCAAGUCAUCAUGGCCCUUACGACCAGGGCUACACACGUGCUACAAUGGCGCAUACAAAGAGAAGCGACCUCGCGAGAGCAAGCGGACCUCAUAAAGUGCGUCGUAGUCCGGAUUGGAGUCUGCAACUCGACUCCAUGAAGUCGG